This 324-nucleotide transfer-messenger RNA is filed under the name Salmonella enterica. RNAcentral's name for it is "partial transfer-messenger RNA". It matches the Rfam family "transfer-messenger RNA", at positions 1 to 335 of the family's 374-position model. From Rfam's summary of the family: Bacterial tmRNA, also known as 10Sa RNA or SsrA, is named for its dual tRNA and mRNA-like properties. Its role is to liberate the mRNA from a stalled ribosome. The record is from RNAcentral. Lineage: Bacteria; Pseudomonadati; Pseudomonadota; Gammaproteobacteria; Enterobacterales; Enterobacteriaceae.
GGGGCUGAUUCUGGAUUCGACGGGAUUUGCGAAACCCAAGGUGCAUGCCGAGGGGCGGUUGGCCUCGUAAAAAGCCGCAAAAAAAUAGUCGCAAACGACGAAACCUACGCUUUAGCAGCUUAAUAACCUGCUUAGAGCCCUCUCUCCCUAGCCUCCGCUCUUAGGACGGGGAUCAAGAGAGGUCAAACCCAAAAGAGAUCGCGUGGAUGCCCUGCCUGGGGUUGAAGCGUUAAAACGAAUCAGGCUAGUCUGGUAGUGGCGUGUCCGUCCGCAGGUGCCAGGCGAAUGUAAAGACUGACUAAGCAUGUAGUACCGAGGAUGUAG